GACGAACGCUGGCGGCGUGCCUAAUACAUGCAAGUAGAACGCACAGUUUAUACCGUAGCUUGCUACACCAUAGACUGUGAGUUGCGAACGGGUGAGUAACGCGUAGGUAACCUGCCUGGUAGCGGGGGAUAACUAUUGGAAACGAUAGCUAAUACCGCAUAAUAUUGAUUAUUGCAUGAUAAUUAAUUGAAAGGUGCAAUUGCACCACUACCAGAUGGACCUGCGUUGUAUUAGCUAGUAGGUGAGGUAACGGCUCUCCUAGGCGACGAUACAUAGCCGACCUGAGAGGGUGAUCGGCCACACUGGGACUGAGACACGGCCCAGACUCCUACGGGAGGCAGCAGUAGGGAAUCUUCGGCAAUGGACGAAAGUCUGACCGAGCAACGCCGCGUGAGUGAAGAAGGUUUUCGGAUCGUAAAGCUCUGUUGUAAGAGAAGAACGGGUGUGAGAGUGGAAAGUUCACACUGUGACGGUAUCUUACCAGAAAGGGACGGCUAACUACGUG
RNAcentral lists this ribosomal RNA (505 nucleotides) under uncultured bacterium. RNAcentral's name for it is "partial 16S ribosomal RNA". It matches the Rfam family "Bacterial small subunit ribosomal RNA", at positions 28 to 507 of the family's 1533-position model. The record is from RNAcentral.